GGAGUACUUAGGUCAUGUCAGUAACAAACAUUACAAGUCCUCACAGAUGCAAGAAUAUGGAGGUUCUCCAGAAAAUAAAUAGCAUGAAGAGACGUAUGGCCAUAUAUAGUCAAGAUCACAGAGUGUGAGGCCAGUAGAGGAAGGAAUGGCAUCAGAGAAAAUACCAAGGCAAACUAGAAGGACGGAAGGGAGAGGAGACAACUGAACAAUUAAAUACUGCCUUUUUAGAGAUCCAGAACGACUAUUGCAGUGUGCUGGCAAGGUCGGCGUGGGGAGGCACAGAGCACAAAGACAACAUGCUUUGGAUAAUGCUGAA
This is a long non-coding RNA of Mus caroli (Ryukyu mouse), 316 nucleotides long. RefSeq lists it as uncharacterized. NCBI's taxonomy places the organism in Eukaryota, Metazoa, Chordata, Mammalia, Rodentia, Muridae. The record is from RefSeq and is a predicted model, not a curated record.